AAUAAAGUGCCUGAUAAAAGGAUUAUUCUGAUAGAAUAAAUUAUAAAGUAUAUACUUUCUUUAUUA
Molecule: transfer RNA, 66 nt
Filed under: Chilo auricilius
Lineage: Eukaryota; Metazoa; Arthropoda; Insecta; Lepidoptera; Crambidae
Description: tRNA-Ile
Source: RNAcentral